CCCUCCCUCUUCCUUCCUGCCUAACACAUGCAAGUCGAACGAGACCUUCGGGUCUAGUGGCGCACGGGUGCGUAACGCGUGGGAACCUGCCCUUAGGUUCGGAAUAACUCCCCGAAAGGGGUGCUAAUACCGGAUAAUGUCUUCGGACCAAAGAUUUAUCGCCUUUGGAUGGGCCCGCGUUGGAUUAGCUAGUUGGUAGGGUAAAAGCCUACCAAGGCGACGAUCCAUAGCUGGUCUGAGAGGAUGAUCAGCCACACUGGGACUGAGACACGGCCCAGACUCCUACGGGAGGCAGCAGUGGGGAAUAUUGGACAAUGGGCGAAAGCCUGAUCCAGCAAUGCCGCGUGAGUGAUGAAGGCCUUAGGGUUGUAAAGCUCUUUUACCCGGGAUGAUAAUGACAGUACCGGGAGAAUAAGCUCCGGCUAACUCCGUG
RNAcentral lists this ribosomal RNA (433 nucleotides) under uncultured bacterium. RNAcentral describes it as "partial 16S ribosomal RNA". It matches the Rfam family "Bacterial small subunit ribosomal RNA", at positions 36 to 507 of the family's 1533-position model. The record is from RNAcentral.